AAAGGUUCCAGCUAGGAACGAGCGUGACACUAGGGUACAAAGUGAGUAAAGGAGAUACAUCAGGUUAAGUUUGGAUGAAGAUGGAAGUGUGCUGAGCUGGAGCUUUUUGUUUAUGUAAAUAGUAAUAGGCUCAGGAUGUUGUGUCUUCAUACAUAAUGUCCCAUGAUGUACUCCGCUGCAACACUUUAUUUCUCUUAUCACUUUUGGCGUGUUGUAGAAUGUUUUAAAAACUUAACCUGUA
This is a long non-coding RNA of Salvia miltiorrhiza (redroot sage), 241 nucleotides long. RefSeq lists it as uncharacterized. The record is from RefSeq and is a predicted model, not a curated record. NCBI's taxonomy places the organism in Eukaryota, Viridiplantae, Streptophyta, Magnoliopsida, Lamiales, Lamiaceae. The transcript is spliced from 2 exons.